CCUUUUUCCAUUUUAAGUAAAAAGAAUUGUUAUCGAAUUCAAUGUAAAUCAAUCUCACUCACGGGUUCUCUAAGCGUUUCUAUUCUCAAUGAAAUAAAUCUCGCAAAUUCAAGGAUGAAAAACAGAAAAGAGGUUCAUCUAAUACUAAAACGUCGUCGUCACCUUUCAGCCGAUUCAAAACAACCAAUGGAUCCAAUUUUGUUAGGUGCAAACCCAAUGGAAGGAUUUUCUUUGUAUGUAGGAUAAUUUUUGAAUGCAGCUGAAAGGAAUACAAUUUGGGUUCAGGGGUUUAGAACUGGGGACUAUUAUGUUAGGUUUUUUUCAAGACAUUUGAUGAAUAUAGAGGGAGCAGCAAAGAAUUGGUUCUGGGGUUGGUGAUGAUGCAGAGUAGUACCCCAGAUAGUGGUGGUGAUUAUGUUGUGAAACUUGAACAAGUUCCACGUUGGAAUGAUGCAGAACAGAGGUUAUCUUUGGCAAUUCAGGAUGAUGAUUCUUCUCCGUUGUAUCUUGCUUUUUGGGUCAUUAAUAAGUUUUCUUAGAGAAUUUACUUAUUGCAGAGGACACAGGGUUUUGCUUUAUCUGUUCAACAUCCAUAUAUCUGUUUGCUUAUGGCUCCUUCCUAAGUUAAGAUGAUUUGCACAUCCAAAGAAUUGCACUUUGAUUGUGGGUUUAUGUUUUCGUGGAUGUUUAUGCUCGCAUCCACUUUGUAUUAAAGAGUAUCAUAACGAGCAUUAUUUAACUAAUAUUGAGAAGUUGAUGUUGCAAAUAGUUUCAUGGUUAAGAGUAAUGUAUCAAGAUGAGAACAUUGAGAAGGUAAACAUUUUUUACAGUAUUUUUUAUAAUUUCUUUGAUAGAUGUAAGCAGUUAGUAAAUAUCAAGGGUCGAAACCACCGCUAACCAUUGUUGCUAUGAUAGGAUUUUGAUGAAGAAGAGAGGUGCAUGCUAAUGUACGUAGAGGUACUGAGUUUGUCCUAAUCAGAGUCUCAAAAUCAUUGUUGCACAAUCUUCUUAUCCUUGGAUGCAAUGAUAUUCUGUCUGUAGGUUGAGUUUCUUUCAACACUCAAUAUGUAUUAAAUUUACACUUUUCUUUAUGAUGAAAUUAUAGUGGAUACUACAUGAAUUUGGGCAUCCAGAGUGCUAAGAAUUGAUUUAGAUCCAAAGAUGAAUCCAUCACUUGGUCGUUUCUUGAA
Molecule: long non-coding RNA, 1190 nt
Organism: Papaver somniferum (opium poppy)
Lineage: Eukaryota; Viridiplantae; Streptophyta; Magnoliopsida; Ranunculales; Papaveraceae
Exons: 4
Source: RefSeq, a predicted model, not a curated record